Molecule: ribosomal RNA, 498 nt
Filed under: uncultured bacterium
Lineage: Bacteria
Description: bacterial SSU rRNA
Rfam family: Bacterial small subunit ribosomal RNA
Source: RNAcentral
UGGCGUCAGGAUGAACGCUGGCGGCGUGCCUAAUACAUGCAAGUCGAGCGAGAAGCUACUUUGUAAGCGUUUUCGGGUACAAUUCUGUGUAGUGGAAAGCGGCGGACGGGUGAGUAACGCGUAGGCAACCUGCCCUUAGCAGAGGGAUAGCCAUUGGAAACGAUGAUUAAAACCUCAUAAAGCUGUUGAGACACAUGUUUUAACAGCCAAAGAUUUAUCGGCUAAGGAUGGGCCUGCGUCUGAUUAACUAGUUGGCGGGGUAACGGGCCCACCCAAGGUGACGAUCAGUAGCCGACCUGAGAGGGUGAUCGGCCACAUUGGAACUGAGACACGGUCCAAACUUCUACGGAAGGCAGCAGUAAGGAAUCUUGCACAAUGGGGGAAACCCUGAUGCAGCAACGCCGCGUGAGUGAUGACGGCCUUCGGGUUGUAAAGCUCUGAUCUUGGGGAAGAAGAAAGUGACGGUACCCAAGGAGAAAGCCCGGCUAACUACGUGCC